UAAUCCAUAGCCCAUGUGCGUGGCUCAUCACUUUACCAAAUUUUCCCUACUUUGUUGGCCCUGCUCGUGCUAUUACUAGAUGGCUGAAGCUUCCUUUGCCAUGUUGUGCUGAAGGUUCCCUGCUUUACUCCCCAAACUUUGCAUGUCCUCUGCCUUCCUAUCUACAGCUUUGGAGCUUAAGGCUUUUGUUCUUUCACAUGUUUUGCAAUUGUCUAGUUUCCCUGACCUUUGGGUUUGAAGUAAAGCAUUUCCUUUUUAUUGGGUUGCACUGUCAAUAAGCCUUCGAUAUGGCUACUAUGCAGAUUGCCGUAUGGUGCUUGGACCAAGCUCUCAAUUGAUGAAGGCUAGUUCUUUAUUUGUAGAUUAGGUUGAAGCUAGAGAUGAUAAUGGGAUAGGGGCUCUUCUUUAUGGCUUCUCCGAGAAGCCAGAAUCAAGUAGGGAAACCAAUUGGAGCGCUUCAAAUAUUUUGAUUGUUGGAUCAUAUGGUCGCAAGGUAAUAUCUGAUUGCACCAUAAUCAACAUAAUGAAAUCCUUGAGGCAAUUGCAAACAUUGCCUUUGUGAUACUGUCUUGGUGAUAUAUCCAUAUCAAGCUUCUACUUGUCUCUGCCAAAUCUGAGGAAAUUGAGGCUUGAAAGGGUAACUCCUUGGAUGACUAAUAAUGAUUUGGUUUUUCUCACUCAGAACUUUGCAAACUUGGUUGGGCUUGCAUUUUUAGGAUGCAAACUUCUUAAUUCAGUAAUGAAGGCAGUCACCAAUGUUAUCCAUGUUAUUUUUUGUUUCUUCAGAUGCUCGAUGCAUCAUCUCUAGUGAAUGGCCAGGCUUGAUAUCUAUUCAUCUUAAGGACUGUAAAGAAGUGACCAGAAGUAGUGUUUGUUCUCUUUUCAACUGCACUGCACUUGAAGAUCUCUUGCUGCGGCAUAAUGAAAAAUGUGUUUGGCCUACAAAUCAAGAUGUUUUGGUUCGACGGAUAUGGGAUAAAAUUUGUUCCAAUGAGUUAAGAAACAUGCUUUUAGAAGAGAAGAACAAAGCAACAACGAAUGCCAAAACAGGUGACAUUAGGGACUGCGAAGGCAUACCAAGGGAAUGAAUCACAAAUGAAAUCUGGGAUGCCCUUAUCGAAACGAUAUGAGGUACAGAAGAAUGCUAAAACAAAUCGAGAAAAGCAAGGCAAAAUGGUUUAUGAUGAUUUAGUUUUAUGUUCAUAUUUAUUUGACAUUUUAAAUAUUGUGUGUUUAUGACGAUUUUAAUGGUAUGAACUUGACUUUAAAUUUUAGUUUUUAA
Molecule: RNA transcript, 1282 nt
Organism: Theobroma cacao (cacao)
Lineage: Eukaryota; Viridiplantae; Streptophyta; Magnoliopsida; Malvales; Malvaceae
Gene name: BTB/POZ domain-containing protein FBL11-like
Source: RefSeq, a predicted model, not a curated record